CAUGUAGCCUGAAUUCACAACCAGAACAUGUCAAGUCAUUGAGAUAUUGUCCGUUGUGCUGAGAGAGCACCUUCCUGAUAACAAGUGUCUCUGUAUCUAUGUUCUAGGUUCAGUUGAUCUUUGGAUGUAAUAAUAUAUGGUCAAAGUCUAGUGACACAACACCAUAGUAUAUUAUAAACAUAACAGCAGUUGGCCAGUAAAGGCCAUGGAAUACUAUAAAACAGGGUUCGUUGAAGUCGGUGGGCCAGAACAUAAUUAGCAUAUUCAUGGGUUAAAACAGGUCGAUGUAGUCUACACUACUUUAUUAAUAGGUAAAACAAGUCUACGUAGCCUACUGUAGUUUACACUACUUUAUUAAUGGGUAAAACAGGUCUACGUAGCCUACUGUAGUCUACACUACUUUGUUAAUGGGGUAACACAGGUCUAUGUACCCUACUGUAGUCUACACUAAUUUAUUAAUGGCUAAAACAGGUCUAUGUAGCCUACUGUAGUCUACACUACUUUAUUAAUGGGGUAAAACAGGUCUAUGUAGCCUACUGUAGUCUACACUACUUUAUUAAUGGGGUAAAACAGGUCUUUGUAGCCUACUGUAGUCUACACUACUUUAUUAAUGGGGUAAAACAGGUCUUUGUAGCCUACUGUAGUCUACACUACUUUAUUAAUGUCAACAUUCAUUCAGAACAAUUAGCUUGAUAGAGAACAUGUCACUCUCAAAAAGUAGCAAAAGAAAGGUGGAUAAUGAAAAUCUAAGUUUCAGGGAAGAACGGACAGAGAUAUAUGCAUUCAUCUUACCAUCUUUCUCCAAUGCCCAGCCAAUGUGUCUCGUUUGCAAUGAAAAUGUCACUGUUUUCAAAGAAUUCAAUCUCAGUCGGCAUUAUGAAUCUUAAGCAUAGUACUUUCAAAGUGAACUUCCCGCCUCAGACAGAGGCCCGACGCAGAAAGAUUGAAGCAUUAACUACAAGCUACAAACACGGCAGUAGAAUCCUCCUUCAUGGCCUGACCUAACAACAGAAGGUUAAACACAACAUGCCCUUCACAGACACAGAUCUAUUUAAAAAAGUGCACGGUGACAGUUUUGGAGGAAUUGGAUAGCAUAAUUGCGUCUGUCAAAAAGGUGCCCCAGUCUGCGUCAACAGCCGGACGCCGUGCACAUAAUAAACUUUGUCAGGGGGACAUCAAGCAACACAACACCGUCUUUACUCAUUAGUAAUAUAUAUCUGCCUCAUUCUCAGAGAAAUCAGUAGUACUGCUAGGUUUUACACAGUAAUAAUAUAUAUCUGCCUCACUCUCAGAGAUUUCCCAGCUGAGAAAUAAAGUGUAUUUUUCCCAUUAAUUCCUUCGAUCUGUCUCAAACCUGCCCCAUCUAUCCCACUCCAAUUGCUGGACUUUCACAUAGUGGUUACUAGGUCACACAGUUCAAACCACAUUUGAAAAAUUAAACUAAUGUGGCUUGUUCAUCAAGUGUUCUGCCUUGAAUAAUAAAUAUAAUGAAAUAACAAAACAGAUUAAUCAAAAUGCUAUUUAGUACUAUUGUUGUAUUUACUAACAUAAUAUUAUUACUAAAAUUGUUUCUAAAAGUUUUCUAGGCUACCCUACCCGAGAAUUAGGUUUAAGACUAAAAUAGGUCAUAUGUAGGGUUAGAGCUUCUGUAGAGCACUUUGUGAAAUCUGCUGAUGUAAAAAGGGCAUUAUAAAUACAUUUUAUUGAUUGUUAUGUUUAGUGUUUUUAAGGCAAAAAUCAGUAUGGUGUAUAGCUCUCUUCCUCCUCCCUGUGGAUUUCUGUGGGUACUACAUAACUCAUUUGUGACACCGGCUAGGCUCAUAAUCUGAGGUAGCAACUGCAUCAUAUCUACAAAUCAAUGAGCUAGACACGUCCAUUUGGUUUGCAACUCCGUGAACCUGAUCAGCAUGCACUCAAUUCAAUGCCUACAAACAAAGAUUUCGAUGCAUGUCAAAUUACCCAGCAGCCAUUUGGAAACAACAAGUCAUCAAAAAAAGUGUUAUUUCUUAAUAAUUUGUUUUAUUCUGUCCGUUUAAAUUGGUCACAUCUUGAAAAAGAGGGCAGGGACAUGUGUUUUGUUUAGGUUGUAUACUUUUUCUGAUAACAAAUAUGCUUAACCAUGACCAGAAAAUGUUUCAUCAGUAUGUACCAGCCAUCACUAGCACUGUGGGUCACGACAAUAUGUACCCAGGUCAACAGCGAGAGUGCUCACUUAGCAUUAGCAGCAGCAAUAAUUUAGGUACACCUACAGUUAAUGCAGGUAGGUCUCAUUGAUAACAAUAGGAAAGCUGACAUUGUGAUGCAGAACAUUGGGAUGGGAAUAGAUUGUUCAGAAGGUGAGUUGUAUUUCAAGGCAGCAUGUUAUUCAGGUACAGAGCCCCACCUGUUAUUCAGGUAGAGAGCCCCACCUGUUAUUCAGGUACAGAGCCCCACCUGUUAUUCAGGUACAAAGCCUCAUCUGUUAUUCAGGUACAGAUUCAGCUACAGAGCCCCACCUGUUAUUCAGGUACAGAUUCAGCUACAGAGCCCCACCUGUUUAGCAUGUUAUUUUGGCAUUAAUACGUGGCAUGUAUCAGUUUGCAAAUAAUGUACAAAAAUAAUAAUAAUUUAGUUAAUAAGCCUCGUACAAAUAUGGUCUCUUUAGUGUUUUGGAUAUAAACUCUUCAUAAAAUCUUUAAAAAAUGGU
Molecule: long non-coding RNA, 2686 nt
Organism: Oncorhynchus keta (chum salmon)
Lineage: Eukaryota; Metazoa; Chordata; Actinopteri; Salmoniformes; Salmonidae
Exons: 3
Source: RefSeq, a predicted model, not a curated record